GAUGUAGCCAAAUGGUAAGGCAGCGGUUUUUGGUACCGUGUAUUGGAGGUUCGAUUCCUUUCAUCCCCU
Non-coding RNA from Nowakowskiella sp. JEL0078, 69 nucleotides. NCBI's taxonomy places the organism in Eukaryota, Fungi, Chytridiomycota, Chytridiomycetes, Cladochytriales, Nowakowskiellaceae. The record is from the annotation of a GenBank genome assembly.